CAAGGUGAAGGAUGCAGAUGUUGAGUAAGGAGGCAGCCACAAAAGAACGAUUCAUUAAAUGCCAAAUGUACUCUCUACUUACGGUAAGUCCUUGGAAAACGAUGCAUGUCAAUUCUGAAUAUAAAUCAGUACACCUUGCCAGAACAUUGUAUCCUUGUGAACAUAAAAGAAAAAUGAUUGUGCUGAACAUAUUUUCGUCACAUUUUUAUAGUGUGUACACCCUGACAUUGCCAACUACUGUAGCGGGUGUGCUCUUAUACACUUUAUUAUAUUGCAGCAAAGAAAAAAAAAGUAUGUUCUUUGAUCUUUCAAGGUUUCAGUGUACUGUAUUGUGAUUUUUGACGAAGGAAUCUACCCACUGAAUGAUUAGUCUUUUCUUUCAUCGCUCACACACAAACGUUUGUUUCUACCUCAUUCUGUGUUUUAUUAAUCAACAGCAGAAUAUGCGUUACAUUUUAUUUUGGACGAAAUAAAACAAGUGUGGUCAGACUGACGCUUUACAAGUGCAGUCAACGAACUACAAAAAUGGCUGAAGAACUACAAGAGACCGGAAAGACGUACCGCACAGCUGCUGCUUGAAUUUACGUGGCAGGUGGAACCAAUCAAAAGUAAAUACAGUAACGGACACCGGAACGUUUGUCUUGUUUUGAACCCUUGCUUCGAACAUUUGAAAGCAACUACAAACAUCGAGGGGGAAAAAAAGGAACUUUCUGCUGUUGCCGAACCACGAAUAUGCGAGGGGCUGCUGUCGAGUUUUAUAGCAGGCUUGCGUGAACAUGAUUGGCUAUUACCGGCAUAUGCUCGUAAGGACGCGACUCCACCACGGCGCUGAUGGGAUUCGCAAGCGUCUGUUUUCGCGUGCGCCGACAUUUUGG
Hippocampus zosterae (dwarf seahorse) is the source of this 875-nucleotide long non-coding RNA. RefSeq lists it as uncharacterized. The record is from RefSeq and is a predicted model, not a curated record. Lineage: Eukaryota; Metazoa; Chordata; Actinopteri; Syngnathiformes; Syngnathidae. The transcript is spliced from 3 exons.